GAUGAACGCGGGCGGCGUGCCUAAUACAUGCAAGUCGAGCGAACAGAUGAGGAGCUCGCUCCUCUGACGUUAGCGGCGGACGGGUGAGUAACACGUGGAUAACCUACCUAUAAGACUGGGAUAACUUCGGGAAACCGGAGCUAAUACCGGAUAAUAUAUUGAACCGCAUGGUUCAAUAGUGAAAGACGGUUUUGCUGUCACUUAUAGAUGGAUCCGCGCCGCAUUAGCUAGUUGGUAAGGUAACGGCUUACCAAGGCAACGAUGCGUAGCCGACCUGAGAGGGUGAUCGGCCACACUGGAACUGAGACACGGUCCAGACUCCUACGGGAGGCAGCAGUAGGGAAUCUUCCGCAAUGGGCGAAAGCCUGACGGAGCAACGCCGCGUGAGUGAUGAAGGUCUUCGGAUCGUAAAACUCUGUUAUUAGGGAAGAACAAAUGUGUAAGUAACUAUGCACGUCUUGACGGUACCUAAUCAGAAAGCCACGGCUAACUACGUG
Molecule: ribosomal RNA, 497 nt
Filed under: uncultured bacterium
Lineage: Bacteria
Description: partial 16S ribosomal RNA
Rfam family: Bacterial small subunit ribosomal RNA
Source: RNAcentral